AAGUCGUAACAAGGUUUCCGUAGGUGAACCUGCGGAAGGAUCAUUAAUAAAUGUACGCCUAGAGAGAGUCUUAAACCGCUUGAUCUAGUGCUGUAUAUAACCACCUGUUUACCUUUACCUGUUGCUUCCGUGGAAUUACGGGUGCUCUUUCUGUUCGCAGACUUGAGUUACCUUCCACGGGUGUAUUUAAAAAAUUGUCUUGCUGAAUUGUCUGAUAUAAAAUUUUAAUAAGUUAAAACUUUCAACAACGGAUCUCUAGGUUCUC
This 265-nucleotide unclassified non-coding RNA is filed under the name Ascobolus crenulatus. RNAcentral's name for it is "partial internal transcribed spacer region". The stretch from base 1 to 46 matches the Rfam family "Eukaryotic small subunit ribosomal RNA", at positions 1786 to 1831 of the family's 1831-position model. Lineage: Eukaryota; Fungi; Ascomycota; Pezizomycetes; Pezizales; Ascobolaceae. The record is from RNAcentral.